RNAcentral lists this ribosomal RNA (834 nucleotides) under Triticum aestivum (bread wheat). RNAcentral's name for it is "partial small subunit ribosomal RNA". The record is from RNAcentral. Lineage: Eukaryota; Viridiplantae; Streptophyta; Magnoliopsida; Poales; Poaceae.
AUGGCCUACCGCGGAGGCGGAGGCCGGGGCGCGCCGGCGGGAGGAGGGCGUGGGGCCACGCGCUGGCCGCCUCCGCGCGCGUCUUCAGCGCCUCGCCCCGCCGCGACGGCGCCCGUGGUGGCCGACAACGCCACGGGGCCGCACCAGGGCGCCUACCAGCACGGCGUCGUCGUCCGCAACCCCGCGCCGGCGCCCUACGCCACCGUCCGCGCGCCUUCCCCGACGCCGGUCACCAUCCGCGCGCCCUCGCCCACGCCGGCCACCAUCCGCGCUCCUGCUCCGACGCCUUCGCCGGCCGCGGCCCGCGUCUCCGCCCCCGCUCCCGCUCCGCCGACCCCCGCGGCCGUCGCCAACGAGCUGGAGCACAAGAUCUUCAACACCGAGACCGUGCUGGCGCGUCCCGCCGCCGCGGCCGCGGCGACGCAGGAGGAGCAGGCCGAGGCGGACCUCGCGCCGGUGUCAGGUCUCACCCACCCCGCGCGUCCCGGCGCCGGCACCAUCGGCAAGAAGGUGAUGAUCCGCGCCAACCACUUCCUCGUUAACGUCGCCGACAACAACCUCUUCCACUACGAUGUGAGCACGAACCCUAGCCCCCUCCUUCUCUCUCUGUUUACGUUCUUCUAUGCGCUUCGUCUUCUCCAGAUCCGGCGUUCUGUAUCGUACGUCGUUUUUCUCUUGUCCGCGCUAUCUUACUCAUACAUCUGUUUUCUCUCGCUCUGCUUUUCGUUUUUCUCCAUGCGACGUGCGUCUCCGACCAGCUCAUCCCGUCCAUGGGUGUUUGGUCCAGCACUGUCGCUACACGUGCACCCCGGUAUUCCUCUGUUUUGCGUUUGA